This is a long non-coding RNA of Girardinichthys multiradiatus, 2095 nucleotides long. RefSeq lists it as uncharacterized. The transcript is spliced from 3 exons. The record is from RefSeq and is a predicted model, not a curated record. NCBI's taxonomy places the organism in Eukaryota, Metazoa, Chordata, Actinopteri, Cyprinodontiformes, Goodeidae.
AAAAGGGGGGUAGCAGCGGACUUCCCAUGAUGCCACUGGCUGUAUAAAAGCACACCUUUCCAAUGAUCCUUUCUCUUCCACCCGGACUCCGUGCGAGGCUGGCCGGAGAGGCAGCGUGCUAAUGUCUCUUUGCUGGCAAACAGACAAACUCUUCAAACUGGAUCCAAGGGUGUCAUACGAUCAUCAACCAUAUGCACUGAGUUAAAAGCAAACUGUGUUCCAGAGAACUCCCUGCAGAGACGCUGUCUCUACGAAGCCGAGUGGAGCAGUUUUCCCAGUCUGGAAAGAGGACAACAGAGACCGUAUCACCAUGGUAACGUGCAGCUUGGUCGGUCCGACAGCGAAUUCUUCAAGAUAAUCCUUGGUUCUCAAACAUAAACAUUGCAUGGAGUUUGCUUGCAGGAGCAUGUGGCCUUCAAAAGACUGUAUCCAAAGGAGCUGUUGCACUGCAAAGUGUUCUCUGCUUAACAUUAGCUCACCCAAGCUCUGAGAAAGAGCUCUUUGACUGUAGACUCUGGAAAAAUGAAUAUUAUGUGCACUGGGACACUUGGAGAUAAAUAGAGACACAUUCUCUGCAUUAGGUUAGUUAGACUGGGGUGUUAUCGGUGAGACUACAUGCUGUGUGCUCUGUCUGCUGAACUAAUUGUGCAAGUAAAAAAUGCCUGUGUAUUCCCAUAUAAUGCAGUGUCUGAUGUUUCUCUUUUAGUACGUAAAAGUGAAUAUUCGAAUUUCACCUAACCUCUACCAUAUCACAAUUAGAUUGUUACUGAGAGUGCUACUCCAUCUCCCCGCAAGAAAGAAAGUAAACAGUCAGAGGAUGUUGACUCCUUGUUUUAAUUCAAAGUUGUGUACCUUAAAGCAGACCUCUAGGUAAUUGGAAAGAAAAAUGCCACUCUACACACCAGUAGUAUGAGUCCAGUGUCAGUGUGGCUCAGAACAGUGUCAUAGUUCUGUCCCACAUAGUCCUCCAACUCUCAAUAUAGAUGGUGUCCUGAGAUUCUUAAACAAAGAAAAUCAAAUUAAUGUUAUCCCUUCAAUUUAGUAACCAGUUCAUUACUAACGGAGCAUUAGAAAAAACUUGAUUUUCUGUCCAGCUGGGUUUUCCUGCAUUAAGGCACUAAAACUGUCAUAACCCCAUUUCCAUUGCUUGUAGAAAGCUUUUAAAAGCCCAGGGAACGUUUUGAUACAAAUUUACCUGGGUAUUGUCACUUUCCCAGGGCUAUACUUUUACAGGUGAAUGGUCCUGGUGUGGAGUAGAUCUUUCCAGAUUUCCCGGGAGUGGUAUAGUAGCCAAGGUGAGUAUACAAAUAAAUUAUUUUUAUACCAUCAAUUUGUGACAAAAAGUAGUUUUAAGAUGUUUUUAAGAGAAAAAGUAGAGCUCAAAAUUUCAUCUGGAUAGUCAGCGCAUGAAGAAUGACCCUACCGUACUUUGAAAUGUUUUUUCUGAGUUUUUGGAGCAGCGGAGCUCCGCUUACAUCCUGGUCUGGCUGCCAAGCUAAACUAACCGGGCGGCUGGACUUAAGACUUCCCCACUAACUGCUGCCCAAUAUCGGCCCGGCACUCAGAUUUCCAGCUACCUGUUAUGUUUGUAGUGGCUGAAAGUGAAUAUAAAGCGUUUCGUAGGUAUGUGGUGAAUAACUGAAAGUACAAUACAAAAUGGAGUAUUUUUUGCCAGAAAUAUGUCACAUUCUAAGUUAUUGUAGAGAAUAAUUAUAAAGUUUUGCCAAAGUUUUGUACAUAAAAAUACACAUUUCCCCAAGAUUAUCUUUUCAUGUAAACCUAACUUAGUAGAGUGUGAACUUUUUCGUAUUUUUAUUGCUGUCUUGUUGCUGAAAUGUGCUAUACAAAGAAACUUGCCUUUCCUUUUAAUUUUUCAUAGUUUUAUGCACACAGCUCUGCGGGAGGUGAGAACACAGUUCCAGGUUUGGAUGCAGUUUUUCAGAAGCGCUCCAAUUCUGUUCAUCCUCCACUGCCCGCGUAUCUUCUACUUUAUAUGAAUAUUUGCCGACGAUUAGACAGUCAAAGUAUCAAUUCCCUGUACUUUUGGACUGAUUAUCAGUGUUUUUAUUCUAAUAAAAGUUUUACUAAAAACAUU